GACGAACGCUGGCGGCGUGCUUAACACAUGCAAGUCGAACGGAAAGGCCCUGCUUGCAGGGUACUCGAGUGGCGAACGGGUGAGUAACACGUGGGUGAUCUGCCCUGCACUUCGGGAUAAGCCUGGGAAACUGGGUCUAAUACCGGAUAGGAGCCAUUUUUAGUGUGAUGGUUGGAAAGUUUUUUCGGUGUAGGAUGAGCGCGCGGCCCAUCAGCUUGUUGGUGGGGUAAUGGCCUACCAAGGCGGCGGCGGGUAGCCGGCCUGGGUGGGUGGACCGCCACAUUGGGACUGAGAUACGGCCCAGACUCCGACGGGAGGGAGCAGUGGGGAAGAUUGAACAAUGGGCGCAAGCCUGAUGCAGCGACGCCGCGUGGGGGAUGACGGCCUUCGGGUUGUAAACUCCUUUCGCUAGGGACGAAGCUUUUUGUGACGGUACCUAGAUAAGAAGCACCGGCUAACUACGUG
This 465-nucleotide ribosomal RNA is filed under the name uncultured bacterium. RNAcentral describes it as "partial 16S ribosomal RNA". It matches the Rfam family "Bacterial small subunit ribosomal RNA", at positions 28 to 507 of the family's 1533-position model. The record is from RNAcentral.